UUUGUUUCUUAUCUUUUUUCUUUAGAAAUUGAAGCUAAGAAAUUAUUUUUCAGGUAAUUCGACGUCAAGAAAGUGAAUUCCCAUCGGCGAAAACUCCAAAAGGAGAAAAGUUUUGAAAUAGGAAGAAGAAGAGCAAUUGGUGGACGGAAACGAUAUGGAAGUAGAUGAUUCAGACUAUGAGGAUUCUGACAUUGAAGAGCUAUGAUUCUAAAAUGAUAUAAUCAAGAGAUGGUUUUGAUUGGUUUUAAACUUUUGUGUUGAACUUUUAUAUUGUUAAUUUAACUUGUUUUUUUUUUCUUUGUUG
Molecule: non-coding RNA, 304 nt
Organism: Caenorhabditis elegans
Lineage: Eukaryota; Metazoa; Nematoda; Chromadorea; Rhabditida; Rhabditidae
Source: Ensembl